Molecule: transfer RNA, 83 nt
Filed under: Xenopus laevis (African clawed frog)
Lineage: Eukaryota; Metazoa; Chordata; Amphibia; Anura; Pipidae
Rfam family: tRNA
About the family: Transfer RNA (tRNA) molecules are approximately 80 nucleotides in length. Their secondary structure includes four short double-helical elements and three loops (D, anti-codon, and T loops). Further hydrogen bonds mediate the characteristic L-shaped molecular structure. tRNAs have two regions of fundamental functional importance: the anti-codon, which is responsible for specific mRNA codon recognition, and the 3' end, to which the tRNAs corresponding amino acid is attached (by aminoacyl-tRNA synthetases). tRNAs cope with the degeneracy of the genetic code in two manners: having more than one tRNA (with a specific anti-codon) for a particular amino acid; and 'wobble' base-pairing, i.e. permitting non-standard base-pairing at the 3rd anti-codon position.
Source: Rfam by way of RNAcentral
GUCAGGAUGGCUGAGCGGUCUAAGGCGCUGCGUUCAGGUCGCAGUCUCCUCUGGAGGCGUGGGUUUGAAUCCCACUUCUGACA